Molecule: long non-coding RNA, 227 nt
Filed under: Manacus vitellinus (golden-collared manakin)
Lineage: Eukaryota; Metazoa; Chordata; Aves; Passeriformes; Pipridae
Description: lncRNA (ENSMVIG00005010054.1)
Source: RNAcentral
CAGGAUAGAGCAUUUUUGAUUGAGUUCCAAAUCUGCAAGCUCAGGGUUCUGUUGGUCUGCAAGUAAACUGGGGAAUACAAGGUUUUGACAUCACUAGUCAUCAUUCCACAGACAACCUUACCAUUCUGAAGAAUUCAAGGAUGGAACUACUAUUGUCAGUGUUGGCAAUAUUAGCACAGCACUGUUGUGUAUCUGAUGACAGAGGAAUUUAAGUGCAACAUAAGGGC